RNAcentral lists this ribosomal RNA (523 nucleotides) under Typhlonectes natans (Rio Cauca caecilian). RNAcentral describes it as "partial 16S ribosomal RNA". It matches the Rfam family "Bacterial large subunit ribosomal RNA", at positions 1850 to 2614 of the family's 2925-position model. Lineage: Eukaryota; Metazoa; Chordata; Amphibia; Gymnophiona; Typhlonectidae. The record is from RNAcentral.
AAGCACUGCCUGCCCAGUGACAUUGAUUUAACGGCCACGGUAUUUUGACCGUGCAAAGGUAACAUAAUCACUUGUUUUUUAAAUAAAGACUUGUAUGAAUGGCAAAACGAAAGCUUAACUGUCUCCACUGUCCAGCCAGUGAAACUGAUCUUCCUGUUCAAAAGCAGGAAUAAAAAUGUAAGACGAAAAGACCCUAUGGAACUUUAGACACAAAUCAACUAUGCCAACAGACCGCAUAUGCCAUGAUCCACAUCUUUAGUUGGGGCGACUGCGGAGAACAAAAAUCCUCCGUGAUAUCUACUAAAUUACACAAAACUAAGUACCAAGACACUUGAAACAGCUGAUCCAAUAAAAUUGAUCAACGAAUUAAGCUACCCUAGGGAUAACAGCGCAAUCUUCUUACAGAGGCCAUAUCGACAAGAAGGUUUACGACCUCGAUGUUGGAUCAGGAUAUCCAGACAGUGUAGCCGCUGUCACAGGUUUGUUUGUUCAACAAUUAAAAUCCUACGUGAUCUGAGUUUCA